AGUGAACGCUGGCGGCAGGCCUAAUACAUGCAAGUCGAACGGCAGCACAGGGGAGCUUGCUCCCUGGGUGACGAGCGGCGGACGGGUGAGUAAUGUCUGGGAAACUGCCUGAUGGAGGGGGAUAACUACUGGAAACGGUAGCUAAUACCGCAUAACGUCGCAAGACCAAAGAGGGGGACCUUCGGGCCGUCUUGCCAUCAGAUGUGCCCACGAUGGGAGUUAGCUAGUAGGUGGGGUAAGUGGCUCACCUAGGCGACGAUCCCUAGCUGGUCUGAGAGGAUGACCAGCCACACUGGAACUGAGACACGGUCCAGACUCCUACGGGAGGCAGCAGUGGGGAAUAUUGCACAAUGGGCGCAAGCCUGAUGCAGCCAUGCCGCGUGUAUGAAGAAGGCCUCGGUU
Molecule: ribosomal RNA, 402 nt
Filed under: uncultured bacterium
Lineage: Bacteria
Description: bacterial SSU rRNA
Rfam family: Bacterial small subunit ribosomal RNA
Source: RNAcentral